CCUACGGGAGGCAGCAGUGAGGAAUAUUGGUCAAUGGCCGGAAGGCUGAACCAGCCAAGCCGCGUGAAGGACGAAGGUGCCAAGCAUUGUAAACUUCUUUUGUCAAGGGACAAAAUCAGGCUCGCGAGCCUGACCGAGGGUACUUGAAGAAAAAGCAUCGGCUAACUCCGUGCCAGCAGCCGCGGUAAUACGGAGGAUGCGAGCGUUAUCCGGAUUUAUUGGGUUUAAAGGGUGCGUAGGCGGGCUGUUAAGUCAGCGGUAAAAGCCCGGGGCUCAACCCCGGCGAGCCGUUGAAACUGGCUGUCUUGAGAUGUCGAGAGGUAUGCGGAAUGCGCAGUGUAGCGGUGAAAUGCGUAGAUAUUCGGAGGAACACCGGUGGCGAAGGCGGCCAACUGGGCUUUAACUGACGCUGAGGCUCGAAAGUGUGGGGAGCAAACAGGAUUAGAUACCCUGGUAGUC
This 459-nucleotide ribosomal RNA is filed under the name uncultured bacterium. RNAcentral's name for it is "partial 16S ribosomal RNA". It matches the Rfam family "Bacterial small subunit ribosomal RNA", at positions 338 to 795 of the family's 1533-position model. The record is from RNAcentral.